RNAcentral lists this long non-coding RNA (589 nucleotides) under Equus caballus (horse). RNAcentral describes it as "lncRNA (ENSECAG00000050883.1)". Lineage: Eukaryota; Metazoa; Chordata; Mammalia; Perissodactyla; Equidae. The record is from RNAcentral.
CAGACAUCAUUUCCACCACAUUCUACUGGUCAAGCAGGUCACAAAGGCCAGUUCUUAUUCAAGGGAAUGAGAAUUAGAGUCCAUCUCUCAGGGGAAAAAGUCACAACAAAUGUGUGGCCAACUCUAAUCUACCAUAAGGAGCAAUGAACAAAGCAGAGUGAUUUAAGUAAAUUGUCAAUGUCCAAGAGCAGGAGCAACUGUCAGAGAAAGAGGAACAGGAUGAGUGUAGAGGGCUUUGAAGGUGAGGUUAAGAGAUUUGAAUGUUUCGAGAAUAACAUCUUUUCCCCUGGCAUAUCCUCUCUUGUGGAACUGCACUCAGCUAGAUGAAAGAGAGCACCAGGAUUUUCUAAGGUUCCCAGGCACUGGACUAGCAGACAUAAAUCAGGAUAAAUUUUAAAUUGAUGAGAGCUCUGUCAACACCAGCAAAAGGUAUUGACCUUCUUGUGGUAAAGGAAUACCUAGGACCACGGGGGCUGCAGACACAAACCAUGCCUGAAGCCAGCUCGAGCCAUCUCCCACUGUUCUCACUGGGAAUGCUCCUAAUUACUUUCAUGUGGGAUAUAAUAUUUACUGAAGGAUAAAUAAUAAA